This 439-nucleotide ribosomal RNA is filed under the name uncultured bacterium. RNAcentral describes it as "partial 16S ribosomal RNA". It matches the Rfam family "Bacterial small subunit ribosomal RNA", at positions 338 to 795 of the family's 1533-position model. The record is from RNAcentral.
CCUACGGGUGGCAGCAGUGGGGGAUAUUGGACAAUGGACGCAAGUCUGAUGCAGCGACGCCGCGUGAGGGAAGACGGUCUUCGGAUUGUAAACCUCUGUCUUUGGGGAAGAAGAUGACGGUGCCCAAAGAGGAAGCACCGGCUAACUACGUGGCAGCAGCCGCGGUAAUACGUAGGGAGCGGGAGGUGUCCGGAAUUACUGGGGGUAAAGGGAGCGUAGGCGGGCGAGAAAGUUGAAUGUUAAAUAUACCGGCUUAACUGGUAGCUGCGUUCAAAACUUCUUGUCUUGAGUGAAGUAGAGGCAGGCGGAAUUCCUAGUGUAGCGGUGAAAUGCGUAGAUAUUAGGAGGAACACCAGUGGCGAAGGCGGCCUGCUGGGCUUUAACUGACGCUGAGGCGCGAAAGCGUGGGGAGCAAACAGGAUUAGAUACCCUUGUAGUC